CUUCCAUGGAGAGGAGAAGUUGAUAUUUCUUCCAUGGAACUUCCAUGGAGCUUCCAUGGAAUUUCCAUGCAGCCGGGAGCGUUUUCCAGGAAUUUCAUCGGGAUGCUGCCGACCCUGAAAAAAAUCUCCCGCCGGGCUCGGAAGGAGAAAAGCGCCCCAAUUCCAGCGAGGAAAACCGGGAGCGGGGAUUCACUGCUCCCGGCGCCACAGGACCGGGAUGCGGCGGGAUUUUCCCAGGAAAAAUAUGGAAGAGAAGGCAGAAAAAAAGAAGGAAUUUCCUGGUUCAUUCCUUGAAAAGCAAAUCCAACUUUUUUGGCUGCCACGGUUUGGAAUUCCCCACCCUGGGAGGAGAAUUUGCUGCAGGAGAAUUGUGUUCCCAAGGGAAAAUUCCGUGAAAAUAUCCCUCGGGAAGGAGCGAGCUGAGCCAGGAACAUCUGAGGGCCUGGAGGCCUCAAACUUCCCAAAAGUUUCCCUGGAAAAGUCCCGAAUUUAUGAAAAAUGCAGGAAGUGAGGAGCAAUCCCACACAUCCCUGGGAUUCCACCUCUCCUCACCUUUUCCCGGGAGCUGAAUUUCCGGGAGUGAAUCAUUGCUCGGAGCUCAUUAAAGUUUCAUCUCCACAAGCCGGGGAAAAUCAGGGAUUCGGGAUCCUUCCACCCCAGGAACUUUGAAAACAACAAAAAAAAUCCCAAAUCCCAGAAGUUUUGCCCCACCCAGGAGAUCCCAUUUGGUGCUUCCAGCGCCAGAAUUCCACAGCGGAUUCGGAUGUGGAUGCGUUGAGGGGCAAAAAAGGACUUUUCCGCUCGGCUUUGUCCCUUUUUUUCCCAAUUUUUAGGGCUCAGUUUGCGUAUUCCAGGCUGUGGAAGAAGGAGAAUUUCCCUAAAAUCCCACGAGGCUGAUUUAGGGGAUUUUAUGGGAUUUCUCUUCCUUCUCACCCCAUUUUGGGCUCAAAUCCGUAAAGUUUUCCCAAACGUUGGAAAACUCCAUCCCAUGGGAAGAGAAGAGCUGGGAAUACAGAAUUUGGAAUAAUUAUUUUGGGUUUUUUUUGCACCUUUUUCCACCUUUUCCAAGGGUGCUUGCAUCCCUGGAUUUCCACAAAGCUCUCCCUGUUUCAUCUUCCUGGGAGUUAAUUAAAUGUGUUCAAUUAAUUAAAAUUAAUUCAAUUAAUUAAACCCCGGAGAUUUGGGUGCCAAUGGAAUACCAGGAAAACUCCUUGGAAUGAACUGGAUUUGGGGCUAUUUUUUGGGAAAUUCCCAAAAAUCACUCGGGCCAAACCCAAAAAUCCAAUCCAGUGGCAGCUCCUGGGCAUGGAAUUAAACUCGGAAUUAAAU
This 1329-nucleotide long non-coding RNA is filed under the name Chloebia gouldiae (Gouldian finch). Its description in RNAcentral is "Erythrura gouldiae (Gouldian finch) lncRNA (ENSEGOG00005012618.1)". The record is from RNAcentral. Lineage: Eukaryota; Metazoa; Chordata; Aves; Passeriformes; Passeridae.